AAAAUAAAUAAAUGUUCUGGUGGACGUAGAUUCUGGGGACGUUGCGGGCCCACCCAACCGACCUGGAGGCUUUUUAGCAGCAUCAUCCCUUAUUGCCUUUGAAAUCACUCUUGUUCGUCGACUCUUUGUAGGAAAGGUCAAACCGGUAAGAGUGCUAAAAACACCGCAGAAGAAGUGCCCUGCAAGGGACGGAACUUACACUAAAGCUGACGCACAGAUCUCGUAAUGCUGAAAAGAUCGAAGGGUUCAGACGAGACGUGCAAAAUCGUAAGGAUACGCUCUACUUUCCCUAAACGACUUAAAAAACAUUUGAUGUUGACAAAGAACAGUAG
Non-coding RNA from Drosophila melanogaster (fruit fly), 332 nucleotides. NCBI's taxonomy places the organism in Eukaryota, Metazoa, Arthropoda, Insecta, Diptera, Drosophilidae. The record is from Ensembl.